CUCUGCUUCGUCUGUGGCGGUUUGUGGGCUACCAUCACCUGCGCAGAGCCGGGAUGUGAGAGGAGCUUCCAUCUCCCCUGCGCCUAUGAGGGUCAAUGUGUCACCCAAUACUUUGGAGAGUUCAGGUAAGGGCUGCCAGGUGUGUCCUGUGGGCCUCCAACCCUGCUGUCAGCACCAGCCAAAGCAGCGAGGAACGCGCUGUGACACCUCCCAGCAGCCUGACAGAGCCAGAGCCAAGGCCUGGGGCUCCUUCCCGUUCCUCUGCCCUCCUCGCAGCCCUUCUCACCUCGCCCAUCCCUUCCAUCUUCCCCCAGGUCCUUCUGCAGGGAGCACAGCCCACAGCAGGCAGUGCAGGCAGCACCGGAGCCGGACACGACCUGCGUCAUCUGCAUGGAGCCUGUAGGUGACAGCAGGUCGUACACCACCAUGGUGUGCCCAGCCUGCCAACACGCCUGGUUCCACCGGGCCUGCAUCCAGAGAAUGGCCCUGAGCUCUGGGCUUCUCAGCUUCCAGUGCCCCCACUGCAGAGACAGAGAGACGUUUCUUCGAGACUUGCUGACUGUGGGGAUCCAUAUCCCAGACAGGUUGGUGUCUUUCAUCCAGCUCUUGAGAUGUGAGGGCACAAGAGCUGUGCCUGCCCAAGGACUGCCCCGCAAGGCCUGGCCCUUGGCAGCCAUUAACAUGGGCCUCAGUGUCAUUGGGAAGCUGGAAGCAGGGAUAAGGUGGAUGGGGAUGGAUUUCAUGGGUUAGUUUUAGUUCUGGGUCAGUGAGUGCUCAUCACAUUCCCUCCCUUCUCUGGCAGUAUUGCAGAAUGGGAGGACAACAACGCCUAUGAAGCACUGGCAGUUUGGUAUCGACGGUGCCAUGCCAGCAACUGCCUUUACCCCCAUGGCAGAUUGCGGUCAGGAGAGGGGCCCUGGGAGCUGCUCCUCUGCAGCUCCUGUGCUGCACGAGGCACACACCGCCGCUGCUCCUACCUGAGUGAUAGCAGAACCGAAUGGGAGUGCAACGCCUGUGCUGGAGAGGGCACCGCCUCCAGCACCAGCUCAGGUCUUGCUGGCCUCGGCACCACCAGCCAGCAGGGACUGCAGCUAUCUCAAACCUCUGUGACACCAGAGAGCAGCAGCUCCGGCACCACCAGUGAGCACGGACUGCCGCCACCCCAAGGCUCCACAGCACCAGAGAGCAGCAGCUCUACAACCACCAGCCAGGCACCAUCGGAGCCAGCUAACCGUUCCCGUGUGCCUGAGAGCAGCGGCCUGUCCAGCCAUCACAGGACAGAGUGCCAUGGACGCUGUGAGACAACCCAUAAUGCUGCUCCAAUUGCUGAGAGCAGCACCUCAUACUCUGCCAUCCAGGGGACAUCACGGUCCUCGAGGCGCUGCCGUGCACUGGAAUACAUCUUCAGUAGCAGGCUGAGAGAGCAGGCCCGGACAAGAAGCCGCUCUCCGUUGCGGCACCAGGCCCCAGAAUCUCCGAGCCAGCCCCAGAGACACCUUGGGAGCAGGCAGACAACAAGCCCAGGUGCUCAGAGAUGCAGCUACACCGCACCAGCAGCACCGGGUUCCUGUGUGCCUGAGAGCAGCGGUCUGUCCAGCCAUCACAGGACAGAGUCCCAAGGACGCUGGGAGACAAGCCAUAAUGCUGCUCCAAUUGCUGCGAGCAGCACCUCAGACUCUGCCAUCCAGGGGACAUCACGGUCCUCGAGGCGCUGCCGUGCACUGGAAUACAUCUUUCAGUAG
This is a long non-coding RNA of Coturnix japonica (Japanese quail), 1742 nucleotides long. Lineage: Eukaryota; Metazoa; Chordata; Aves; Galliformes; Phasianidae. The record is from Ensembl.